Molecule: ribosomal RNA, 458 nt
Filed under: uncultured bacterium
Lineage: Bacteria
Description: partial 16S ribosomal RNA
Rfam family: Bacterial small subunit ribosomal RNA
Source: RNAcentral
GCUACGGGUGGCUGCAGUGAGGAAUAUUGGUCAAUGGGCGAGAGCCUGAACCAGCCAAGUCGCGUGAGGGAGUACUGCCCUAUGGGUUGUAAACCUCUUUUGUCGGGGAGCAAAAGCCGGACGUGUCCGGCUGUGAGAGUACCCGAAGAAAAAGCAGCGGCUAACUCCGUGCCAGCAGCCGCGGUAAGACGGAGGAUGCGAGCGUUAUCCGGAUUUAUUGGGUUUAAAGGGAGCGCAGGCGGAUUUUUAAGUCAGCGGUCAAAUCGUGGGGCUCAACCCCAUCCAGCCGUUGAAACUGGGGAUCUAGAGUGUGCGCUAGGUAUGCUGCCUGCGUUUUGUAGCGGUGAAAUGCAUCGAUAUCACGCAGAACCCCGAUUGCGAAGGCAGCAUACCGGUGCACAACUGACGCUCAGGCACGAACGCGUGGGUAUCGAACAGGAUUAGAUACCCCUGUAGUC